This 40689-nucleotide long non-coding RNA is filed under the name Ananas comosus (pineapple). RNAcentral's name for it is "long non-coding RNA (ACOM_LNC020414)". The record is from RNAcentral. Lineage: Eukaryota; Viridiplantae; Streptophyta; Magnoliopsida; Poales; Bromeliaceae.
ACAAGAUCUAUAUUUCUGAUCGAAAAAUUUAGUGCUAUAUCACCACUUUUUAUAGGAUUUUAUUUUCAGUCGUUAAAAAUUUUUGAUUUUGAAUCCUUUUGAUUGCUAGGUAAAUGAUCAUGAAAAUCGCAAAAAUUAUUUCUAGAAAAGACUUUAAAUACGCUAGAUCAAGUUUAACGGAGCCGAUCGUCGAUUCGAAAACUCCAUCAUCGAAAACGGCUCAGGAGCACGGAGGCCUCCGUGCUCCUGAGAGCACAGCAGCCCUGCUCUAUAUAUAUAUAUAUAUAUAUAUAUAUAUAUAUAUAUAUAUGUUAUCUUAUCAAAUCAUGAAUAACAAGAAAUGUUAAGAAAUAAAAAUCAAACUUUCCAUUUACAAUCACACCUAAAAAUGUUUAUAUUGAAUAAGUUAUUCUUGCAUAAUUUAUUCCGGCAUCCAACCAUAACCUAAAAAAUAUUGUUUGGGUACCUAAAUAUUUUAUUGAACAAAUCUUUUUGAUUUAUUUUUAAAAAUAUAUAAAUCCAGUAGGAGAGGAGCGUGAUUAAAUAUCUAAAAUUGCUUUCGAAUAUCAUAUUCAGCCUUAAGCCAUUUUUUCGGAAUAAGAAAAAUCAACUCGCAUUAAAUGCGCUAUUCAACCAAAUUAUGAUAAUUAAAACCAUUGUAAAGAACAAAAAUUAAGCCUCCAUCAUCUUCCAACCACACAAGAAAUUUUGUUAUUAUUGAAUAUCUUAUUUGUACCUCUAAAUAAAGCUCAAUAUGUCAUUUUACCAUUUCAACAAAUAUCACCCUCCGAAGUUGCUGGCGACGCCAACCAAUGACCAAGGACUCAAUUAAUAUAAACCCAUUAUUUCAACUAACUAAACCUCAAAGUUUCCUGUUUCCAACCAAGCUUAUUAAUAAGCUCCUCUACCUUUUCUGACAAUGGAGACGCAUUAACAAGUUCCUUGAAGUCGCACACCAAAAAUCCUUCAAAUAAUGUAUCGAGAGAAGUAUCAUAAUAAACAAGAUAUUAGAGUUGACGAAGAGUAAUUUGACAGAGGACCCAGAAGAUGUAACUUUUUACAAGUGUUUCUCUGACGACCACAACUAUAAAAUCAUUCGACGUCAAAAUUUCCAAAGUUUCUUUUCACGGAACAGGUAGAGAAACUUAGAUCAACAUAAUCCCAAGCAAUAAGCACGUGCUUUGAAAGUCAUACCAACAUUAAAAUACAACAGUGUCUAGCAUCGUUCCGAGAGUCUGCACGAUGUUGGAUGACAUCAAGUUCGAGACGUGCUCCUCCAGGUGCUUCUUUGCAUCUUGCCGCCCUACAUUAGCGAUUGCCAGCUUCUCAGGCGGCAGUUCGUCCUCCUCCUGGACUGCUUUAUUGUACUUGAUAGCCAAAUUCAGCAUUUCCUGCCCAUAUGUUCAUCAUAUUAAUCAGAACAAGAUGAUAAUUUCAAUUGAGGCAAAAUCAAUGAAGUCCGCUUGAUUUGAAUUGGCCUGUUUCCACGCACCACCGUCAUGCUCACUAAAUUAGUACAAGGGCAUGUGCUACUUGGUUGAAGGGGAAAAUGAAAGAUGCCUACAAGUCUACAACCACCGAGCAUAUACAACCUUUAAAUCAUUUUUAUGUUUUGCUAGUAGAAUGCAUUUCUCUUCAUGAUCAUGAAGAUCUUACAAUGGACUAAAAUCAAACAACUCGAAAAGAGAAUUCCCAUACAGCUAAAGCCAUCCAGUAAGAUAUCACUGAGACAACUUGAUUUGCCCAUCCAAAUAGGCCCUAAAUCUAGUGGACAUGGACCUUCCCUUUUGGCUUACUAGCAAAGUUCAUGCGCUGGAGCAGAGUAGCAAAUUUACAGCAUCGAAUACAAAUAACUAUCAAAUCAAUAUUGUAAAGCUGCAGACAGCCAGCCGUCUCAGUAGGCUUACCUGCACAGUCUGCUCAUUAGUUUUGGCAUGUGUAUCGAAUCGCCGCAGCAUCAAACCAUCCGUCCACUUCUUCUUAUGCAAAUUCAGUAACAUCUUUUCCUCCAGCUCAUUUUUACGAUAAUUAAUGGCUAUGGAGUAGUAAUGUCGGUUCAAUCCAUGAAUCAAUGCCUGGAAAGGCAAAGAGAAUGAGAGUAAGUAGCAGAAAUAAGAAUGAUAAACAGAUAUUAUCCAUAUUGUUAUCUACUAAAGCAAAGAGGUUACCUGAAUGGAUGGUUUGUUGAGGUGUCCAACAUUGGAUGUGGUCUGGCGAGGCUCUUGGCCUAGCAUCAUAGUCUGAGGAUUAAUCAACCGGAAAGCAUCAAUAACCACCUUCCCCUUUACACUUUGGAUUGGGUCUACAACCACUGCAACCGCCCUAGGAUUUAAGGCUUCAAAACUCUGCACAUUGAAAUAUUCGAAUGAUAAAGUUUAAGACCACUUCAAAAUGACAUAAUGGAUUGAACUGCAGAAAAAUAAACAGUUUAUAAUACGAACAGAAAAAGUCUGAACUGAAAAUAAACAUCAGAAAAAGAAAUUCUUUAGACAAGUGGAAAUUCCUAAUUCAUAACUUAAUAUGAAAGAAAAGUAUGUAAAAAUUUCAAGUUACUUGAAAAGGAAAAAAAAAGAAAGUGAGGCACAAACCUGCUGGGUAUUUAUGUCAACACCAGAGAGCCAACAACCAAAGCCAGGAUGAGAGUGGUACCAACCCACCACCAUUUCCGGUCUGUACAAUUUGAACAAGUUAGAAUAUAUGCUGAGACUAAAACACAUCUGAUAAAAAGAAGAAUCUUGACUAUUCUGACACAAAUUAAUAGGCCACCAUGAAGCAUCCAAGUUUUGUAUCUUUUUUAUAUUGCUUUUGUAGAUACCAAAUCUGAUGCAAGCCUUCAAUUAUAGGUGGGUCUUUGCAUUGUUCUAGUGCCAAUAGAUAUAUAUUAUAGGAAGAAGUCCUAAUGAUUCCUAUUAGAUAUUUCAAUUCUUCUUUACUAUGCACUGAAAAAACACAAACUUUGCAACACACAUCACCUAAACAAGAAAACAAGAACUAAUUAAAUAGAAGGUAAACCGUAGGAUGUCACAUAAAAGCAAGAAUUUGUAAAUGGGUAACACCUAAAAGUCCUUUAAGAUGAAUAUAAAGCAUCUGCUUACUUACGUACAAGACAGUAAAAACAUUCACUGUUAUCAAGAAGGAACAAUAUAGCACACUAACAAGUUCUAAGCAAUUCUUGGUUGAAUUUAGCCAAUCUAAGCAAAAAGAUCUUAACUUCUGGUUACAUUUGUACAGAAUUUAAAGUGAAUAUAUCUUCAGUUCUAAACAAUAGGAAGAAGCUGAUUUGUUUUUACAGCUAGGAGCAACAUCUAAACAGCAAAGAGACUAUUAACUGAAAAGGAGAUGAAACAACAGCAGCAGCAACAGCAGUAAAAGAGAAGGAUAAGAACAGCACUAACAGUAUACAUAGAAGAUAUAAACGAUGCUCCAAAAACCAUAUACCAUAGUAAUUGCUAAAACAUCGUUUGGUGCUGCAAAACUCAAAGUCAAAGAAUAAAAAAGGGAACUCCAAAACACAUAAUGUGGAGAACUAAAAAUUUAAUGUAGCAUGCGUACGCAAAUACAUGAGAGCUAAUAAGUUUGUGUAGGGGCACGAAAGCGCACACGUGCACACAAAUAUGAUGCAGGCCAACAUAGAGUGUGCCAACAGACACAUAGCCAUAUACAUGAUUUGCAAUCAUUUUAGCGUCACUUGUAAAUCUUCUGCAUCUCAUACACUCAGUACAGAGAGAAGCAAAACUUCCACAUCUGCUGAAGCAUUGCAUAAAACGCAUUUAUAAGGGCUACAAAAAGCGAAGAUAUGGGAGUGUCCUAGCAUGCCUCUUGCCUAGCAUGGGCUUUAAAACAUAAUCUAAUCUACAUCCUACAUUAAAACAUGAAAUUACUCAGCAUUUUAAGAUAACAACAACCCCACAAGCUUCAAUGUUUUAAAAUUAGCAUUCACAACACUAGCCUCAUGAUCUUACUUACAAUCUAGAGAGCUACACUUAGCAUUCCAAUAAUUCUCUUGUUUCCAAACGCAAUUAUACUAUAAGAUCUACUUGCUAAAGAGCAGGUAGGGUUAGAUAUUAGAGACCUUCCAGUUUGCUUGAGCAUGUCGAGCAUGUUUGUUUGGAAGACGUGAUCGACGGCCUCGACGCUAACCCCUGUUCCGCUCUGCGGCAUCGCGAAGACGUCGACGACGCGCACCGUGUACUCGUCCACGAACUCGCCGAGCAUGAGCCCCAUCACCUCCAUGGGAACCCCGGCCCUUCCUAUACCAACGAAGACGCUGAGAAACCAUAAUCCGAAGACGAAGAGAGGAAAAAGGGGAAGGGGUUUAGGGUUAGGGUGAGUACCGUGCUUGAGCAUCUUGAGGAGGGCGAGGGAGGAGAUGUAGACCUGCUCGGAGGAGUCGAGGAGAGGGGCGUCGCUGGGUGGGUGCCCCAUCCCCCCCGCUCCGAAGAUUCGAGAUAACCUCUCCAUCUCUCCUCCUCUCCUCCUCUCUCUCUCUCUCUCUCUCUCUCUCGAUCUCAACGAUGAGCUCUUUGCUCUGGUUUUCUUCGGGGAAGAAAAGGUAAUUGCAUGCGCGUCCCUGAGAAGUACUAAAAUUGUUAACUUGUCCCUUCAAAUUAUUGGGCCUAACAUCUGGUUCGCACAUAUAAUAAGGCCCACCAACUUCCGCACAAAAUCCCAAAUUCCAUCUGGGAUUUUAACUAAUUUUGUUUACUUUGAUUAAGCCUAUGAACAAAAUGUUGCCCGAAACCAUAUGAAUAAUUUAAGGCCGAAUUUGGCCCAUUGAAUCUACGUGGGCCCAACCAAGGAGAGACGAUCCGGCGCCAAAAAUCAGCAGCACCACCAUUUUAGAACAAUUUUUUUUUUUUUAUCUGUUUUCUUCUUGUUUUUUGUCUUUCGUUUUUCGUUUUUUGUCUGCGUUCCUUCGAUCGGGUCUUGUAUCAGGUUUUUUUUUUUUGUUCAUUUAUUUUCCCCCAUUCCAUUUUAUUCCUUGUUUUGAUCUCUCUCUCUCUCUCUCUCUCUCUCUCUCAUUUAUUUUUCCCCAUUCCAUUUUUUUCCUUGUUUUGAUCUCUCUCUCUCUCUCUCUCUCUCUCUCUCUCAUAUUGAAGGGAAGUGCGGAGGGGAUAUGGCUCAGAGAGUGGACCAAGAGCACGAUUAUUCCAUCUUUAAGAUCGUCUUGUUCGCUGAAACUAGCGCGGGCAAAUCGAUCAUCUCGCGAGCUCUCCAGUUCGUAAUUUCUCUUCUGGUAUCUCAAUAUGUAGGUUUUGUUGUGUCCUGUUUCAAUUUUACCUGGUGUCAGUAUCUCCAAGUUUGUUGUUCUGUUUCUUCUUUAGGUUAUUGCUAUUUGCUUUAAAGCGUUGUCAAUGAUUAUGAUCACUAGUGCCUGUAGUAAUGCCGCAGUAACCAAGCUGUUACAAUCAUGUAAUGAGUUCUAUUAUUUAAAAACGUUAUAUCUGAAACAAUCAUUUUAUUCUGAAUGAGCAUUAUUUUCUAUAUUGAUUGACGUCUUUAGUACAUACAUAUGUUGAAGUUAGACUCAUCCUUUUAAUUAAAUGAACUUUGGACUUGAGCUCGAUGAAAUUGCUGAUAUCUUAACUAGUAAGCACUUAACUAUGUUAGAAAUGGAUCAUUAGAUAUAUACAUAUACAUAUAUGUAUGUAUACAUAUACAUAUACAUAUAUGUAUAUGUGUGUGUAUAUAUAUAUAUAUAUAUAUGAAACUUAGGAAUUCUAUUGAAAUCCAUGGACCCACUUUAAUUUUCCAAAACUGCAUCCUAUCGAAAGUUUAAAUCAGAUUUGGGAGUAGAUUAGUAACUCUGUUUUAUGAUGUCGACAUUUGAUUCUGAAAAGUCAGCACUACUCUUUCGCAACUGUAAUCACUGAAAUUUCAACAUAUACUAAGCAACCCAUUGUACAUUAUUUGUGAGAAAAUUAAGAACGCCGUCUAAUGUAUAAGAUAAGAUUUAUCCAUGGCUGUAGACAUCUCAAUUCAUCUUCUUCCUUUAUUUGAGAUGAUGGUGGCUUUUUUUUUUCCGAUGUUUAAGAUACUACCUUUUUGUUGCCUGUGCUGACGUUUUCUACAAAAGAUAUGGUGAUUGAUAUAUGACAAUGUUUGUUAUCUUAAUUCUUUCAGAAUUUUUACUCUUCUGUUCAGUUCGGAAUGUGAGUUGCAAUUUUAUUCAUGUUUCAAGUAACUGCCCAUACCGUCAGAAUAAUGUAGGCUUAUCUGAUUGGCGUAUCAUCUAGUCAAUGUUCUUCUGUGAAGGAUGAAAAAGUUUGGGGUGCGGUGGGGUGUGGGUAGGGGUGGGGGAUUAGAAUAUGUCCUUUUUCAUCCUCUUGUGUCAAUUUCUUUCAAAAGGAAUUUGGUAGGUUUGAUAAUUUGUUAUUACUUCUCUUUCUUAUCGUCCCAAAAAAGCCAGAUGCUUAUGAAUCUGCAUUAUGUGAAGAUGCUUUUCUCCUCUUUCAGUGAACGAAUUGUUGCAUUCUGGGUUUAUUUAUCAGUUACGAGAACUUAUCCCGAACAUUGUUCUUUCUUUCUCUUUCAGAGACUAUAUAUCCGUAUGAUUUCUGUGUCAUAGUAUAUUAGAUGAUUAGAUCUUUCUACGUCUGAGGUCUAUCACUUCACCCCACCAAAGAUUGAGGUCCAGGUCUUUGCAUGUGCAUCUCAUUUUGGGAACUUUCUGUUUCAUUAUGCUGAUUCCUGUUCAGAUUCUUGUAUUGAUUCUCCAUCAGAAGAAAAGGAGGAAAAAGAAUUGAUUCUUCUAGCUUUCAAUCUUGCUUUUGCAAUGGUGUUGUGAAAUGGUUUAACCUUGUGAAAUGGUUUAACUUUGUAGACAUGAUGUUACCAUGUAGAGUCAAGUAGAAAAUUUGCUUUGUUGUAUUCAAAUGCACAAACUGUGUUUGGAUUUGGAUCAUAUUUCCUAAAUGGUUUAGUGGUUAAAGUUAUUUAACGUGUUGUGCUAGCGGUCUCCCCUGUUUGAUUAGCACCAAGGUAUUUUAUUCCACUUGAUGUAACUUGAAAUCUAGAGAGCUCCUCAUGCAGUAGUAGCCCUCGAGGGCUUAAACUUGUUUGUCGAUUUAGAUUCCUUGGAACAUAUUUCUGCCUAAUAAUCUGUUGAUAACAUACUAUAAUAUGAUCUCAUGCAAUCUCAGGACCUGGGAUGUAUUUGUGGGUCCAUCACAUGAACAACCGAUAUAAUUAGAAAUCAGGUGCCGACUACACUUUCUCGUGCCAGGAUUUCUUUCUAGAACCGAACACUAACCAAUGUAAUAGCUAAUGCGAGCAGUUAUAUUAUUCAUGAUGCUCCAAAUUGUUUGAGAUAUCAUGAAAAACAUCUAACUGGUUGACUUUAUAGGUCUUAAUGUACUGUCAUAAAUAUUGGUAUGUCCUGUACAACAUCCAUGUUAUUGGGACUAUCUCUUUUCUUUGGUUAUAUAAAGAGAAAUAACUGUUGUCCAUUAUGGAACCCACAUAACCAAACGUUAUUAGCAUGUUAACUCAUUCCUUUGGAAAAUGGGUUUCUAUCCUUCAAAAGUCAAAACUUUAAUUCUUCAUUAUAUCCUUCAGAUACGCAACUUUCUCACAAAAACUAUUAUCAGGUGAAUCAUGUCAAAAAUUCAACUAAACUGGGUUCAGAUUGCAUAUUCCUUAUCGAAAUGUAGUCACAAAUUGGGAAAAGCUUCUAAAACCUUUUAGUGGGAUCCUAUCCAUAUAGCUGGCAGUUUAAAAAGAUCCGAGUUUGUAGCAAUGCUGUUUUCCCACAACAUCUCUACAGUUUUGCGGCAAUUGUGCAUAAAUGUUUUCUUUCUUAAGAGUUAAGUUGCUUAUACAAAAAAGUAAUAAGAGUCUUUUGUUCUCUUACCCAAAACUGAAUUUCUUAUUUGUUUGUGUUAGUACUAAAUGUAUUGCUUCUCUUCCAAAUGCUUCCUAAAUAGUAGAUACUGUUUUUAUUUCCUUGAUAGCUAGCUUUCAAGAGGAGCUGUGUUGCAGAGCUCCUAAUUUAACUACAUGAUAAAAGAUGAAGAUAUUGAGUCGAGCAUGUGAUCAGAUCUUCCGGCUUUAUUCUCCUCUCCUACGACUGCCAGCUUCUUCCUUAGUAAGCCUCCAUUACCUUUAACUUAUAGUCUUGCCUUUCACAUGGAUCAGGAAAAUCACGUGAGGACUUUUUUACAAAAUAAUCAUCUAAAAUUUUAUAAUUUGCGAAAUAACCCUAUCAAAUUUGUAUUUGGCAAAUUAACUCUCAAAACGCAGUGAAUCAUUCACCGUAUUCUGAAAGUUUUUAAGGUCUUUUAAAGGCGGUGAAUCAUUCACCGUCUUCUUCAUAAUUUUUAAAAGACGGUGAAUGAUGUCUUCUUCACAAUUUUUUGGGAAAGAGAAAAAAAUAAGGUUGUUAAAAUUGUACGUAGAUUAUACGGGAAAUAAAAAAAGUGAGGUUGUUAGGAUUGUGUGUGGAAUAUUAGAAUUUUUGUUUGAUUGAUAGAAUUAUAUGGAUAGAUUAUUAAAAAUUUUUUGAUUGUUAGGAUUAUAUUGACAUACUAGUGAAAUACCCGCGCGAUGCUGCGGAUCUAAAAAUAUUUUUACAAUAAAUUUUAUUUUUUUUCAUAUUUUUAUAUAGUUUUAUAAGUCUAAUUAUUAAUUAAAUAAAAAUGAUAGAAAAAUAAUUUAAUAGUUAAAUCUAUUUAAAUAAAAGUCAUUAAAAUUGGUAUAUGCGCAAAUAAAUUUAUACAUCACUUUAUUUUAUAAAGAUUUCUGUGAGAAGGAUUUGAGAUAAAUCUAUCAAAAUAAUUUUAAAAAAAUCAAUAGAUAGAAGGGAAAUAAAUUUGUAGAAGAAAUUGCUUAAUAAAAUUAAUUAUAUAUAUGUACACAUAUACACUAUAUUUUUAAAAUUUUUCACUUGAAAUUUAAAUUAUGUAUUUUUUUUAUACAACGAUAUUUUACGUGAUUUAAAUUAAAUCUAUCAUGUUAAACUUUAUUAUGCGAUUUAUUACGCGUAUUAUUAAUAAAUUAAUUAAUUAAUUUCAUAGAGUUUAGAGAUUUAAAAUUUUAAAUUUUGAAGAAAUUUAAAUUAUGUAUUUUUUUAUACAACGAUAUUUUACUUAAUUUAAAUUAAAUCUGUCAUGUUAAAUUUUAUUACGCGAUUUAUUACGUCUAUUAUUAAUAAAAUUAAAUUAAUUAAUUUCAUAGAGUUUAGAGGUUUAAAAUUUUAAAAUUUGAAGUUAUAAAAUUGAAAAUAAAUAUUAUAAGUUAAAAUUAAAAUUUAGAAUUUAAAAUAUUUUUGAUAAUGACGCAAUAUAAUUAACAAUUUAAAAUGUCGGUUUCGUAGAUUAUUUCGUGUUUUUUUUUAUUUUGAUUGAUUGUACCCUUUGCAUCUCCCUUUCUUAACUUGUGCUCUUCGCUUGUUUCCCAUCUCCCUUUGUCCCCAUCAUGCGCUCUUUGAAAAUUUUUUACUAUGAAAGAUGUGAAAAUGUCAUCGAUGUGACGCUCAAUACUCUUAUCGGAUGAGAACGAAGUUAUGAUUGAAUUAUUAAAAAAAAAAUUCAUAUACCCUUAUGUGGUUUCACACUUUUUCACUUUAGUAUCCUAUGAUUUAAAAUGUAUUAAGUUAGCCCAUGUGGUUUCGCACUUUCUCACUUAGUACCAUGUAGUUUAAAGUGUAUCAAGUUAGUAUCCUGUGAUUUUAUUUUUCUCUUUUUAUUAUUCAUUUUACUAAUUUUUUCGUUAAAUCAGUGACAAAGUUAAAGCUAAAGGAUACUAAACUGAAUAUUCGAUAAACCUAGAUAGGGUAUUUGAAGUUUUUUGUAUAUAAUUUAACGAAAUAUUAACGGAGGAAAAAAAAAUCAGUGACAAAUUUAAAAGUAAAGGGUACUAAAAUAAAUAUUCAAUAAACCUAGGUAGGGUAUCUGAAGUUUUUUGUAUAUAAUUUAACGAAAUAUUAACAGAGGAGCCGACGAAAAGAGAAAAAUGAAACCACAGGGUACUAACUUGAUACACUUUAAACCACAGGGUACUAAAGUGAGAAAGUGCGAAAUCCCAGGGGCUAACUUGAUACACUUUAAACCACAGGGUAUUAAAGUGAGAAAGUGUGAAACCACGAGAGGGUAUUUGAAAUUUUUCCUUAUAAAAAUCUAUGGACGUUAGUAAUAAUAACUGUGCUUUAGCAUUUUGGACAAAUGAUUUGGAUUCAACGAGUUACUAUUACUAGUGAACAAUAUCAUUAUAAGUCGAAGGACAGUGAGUCGUAUAUUAUCUCUCCUAAUUAAAUAUUAAAUAAUAAACUUCAAAUAUCAGCCUUGUAGUUUUACAUUAAUUACUGAAGAGAAUAAUAAAAAAAUAAAAAUAAAACCACGAGACACUAAAUUGAUACAUUUUAAACCACAGGUACUAAAUUAAUGCAUAUAUCGAACACGAGUUGAAAUUAGCUCGUUCUUAUUUAAUUUCGAACUCGUUUUGAGCCGAACACGAACUGGCUCGCAAUUCACAACCCUAGUUACGACCCACAGACAACUUAAAUAAACAAAAAAAUAAAAGUAAAAAAAUAAAGCUCUAAUCCCGAUGCGUUGACCGGUUGACCACAAAAUAGUCUUAAAAAUUAUAUCAUGCAACGCGUUUUCUGGUUGACAUUUACCAUGCAACGACACCAACCUCCCUUUCUCUCUCUUCUUUCUCUCUCCUCGUAGUAUUAUUUUUUUAUUUUUUUGGGUAAAAAUGUACGGAGAACCCCUUAACUUUUGAAUNGUAUUAUUAAUAAAAUUAAAUUAAUUAAUUUCAUAGAGUUUAGAGGUUUAAAAUUUUAAAAUUUGAAGUUAUAAAAUUGGAAAUAAAUAUUAUAAGUUAAAAUUAAAAUUUAGAAUUUAAAAUAUAAAAUUUAAAAUUUAAAACUUUAAAAUUUGAAAGUAUCAAAAUUUUAAAUUUUGAUAUCAAAAUUUAAAAUUAUAUAUAUAGAGAGAGAGAGAGAGAAUAAAGGAGGGUUUGGGGGGGAGGGGAGGGGGACACGUGUCACCCUAUAGGCCCCCCAAACCCUCCUUUAAUGUAGUAAGAAUAGAUUAUUAGGAUUUUCAAAUUAUUAAGAUUAUAUGUGAUAUUUGAUUAUUACGAUUGUAUGGAUAGAUUAUUAGGAUCUUUUUAAUUGUUAGGAUUGUAUGGAUAGAUGAUUAGAAUUUUCAGAUUGUUAAGAUUAUAUGUAAUUUGUUGAAAUAUUUAUAUAGUUGUUAGGAUUAUAGAAAAAAAUAAUAAACAAGUGAAAGGCGGUGAAUAAUUCACCGCUUUUUUGAGAAAUUAGGAAAGCGGUGAAGGCGGUGAACUAUUCACCGUCUUUAAGAGAUUAGUUUUUUAAAUAUAAUUUUGGCAAGGUUAUUUCGCAAAUAAUAAAAUUUUAAAAGGUUAUUUUAUAAAAAAGUCCUCACGUGAAGGUAUAAGCAGAUUACUUUCUUUUUUGUUUGGUUCAUAAUUCAAAGUUAACUUAUUAGUUCUCUUUCCUAAUUGCUACAACUGUUCUUCAAAAGAUGAAAUGAAGCAAAAAUGUUCCAACGAAGUUCGAUUGUGGGUGCCUGAAGCGAAAGUGCUCAGAAUAGAUGUUUUUGGCACAAACAAUGGUAGACUAAAACAAUGUACAUGAGGAGGUCAGGGUAAAGAGUAUGAUACUGUGAUCAAGUACAAUGAUAAAUUGCAGUUUAGGCCGUAAGGCCCGACUUCUUGACAAGCUCAACUUGGGUUUUUUUUUAUUUUUUAUUUUUUAAGACAUACAAACUUUGCAUUAAAUUAUUAAAACAAAAUUUUCAUUUCCUUCUCCAAUCUGUAAAUUGGACGUGGCUUUUAAAUCCUAUCUCUGGAUGAAUUAGGUUUAAUAACUAAACAAAGCAAUAUGAAAAUGAAGGAGAAAAGCUAUCUUGAGUAGGGGAAUAUCGAUGUCACUUCCCCUAGCAGCUUUAGGAAUUCAAUAAUGGUCAGUCACCUGUUAGGAGGUCAGUAGUAUGCCUUUUUCUAUUUUAGUGGUCAAUGAGAAAGCUUCUGUUUUUGACUCGAACACCUUCCUUUUCCUUUGUUCAAUCUCACAUCUUAAGAAUUUGUGUGGCCACAAUUUAAAGAUUAGUGGAAGCAUAUGUUUGCAUGUUUUCUGUGUGGUAAGAGCUAAGGCUAUUACCAUCUGGGUUUGUGAUUAGGCUUUCAAAAGGCCAUCUGGAAGCUUUGGUUGCGCACUAAAAGCUUAAUGGAUGAAUCCAAUUAAUCCUUUUUGACAUGUGGAUCCACUUAAUCCUUAUACUUGAAGCAUAGAUUGCUUUACAUCCACUCACCAAUUGUAAUUACUAUAAGGUGAGAACAUUUCUAUCUACUUCAACUAGCUUUCACAUCACAAUCAUCUAUGGAGUAGUGAUCAUUAGUGUCUGUUUAGCGUGGCUUCUAAAACAAUGUCUUUCUUGAUAAAGUAGAAAAUGGAGCAGAAAAGUUGAGAACUUCUGGAUGGAAGGGAAGCCAAAAAGACUUCUUGGGCCCGAAAAUAGUGCUUCCAAUUUAACCUAUAUCUACCUGCAACACAAGUCGUCGAGAUUUACUGAAGAAUUGUCGGACUUAUUAUGCUUCUUCCUAUGGCUUUACUCAGCUAGCAUUUUCUAGAACAUCUUGUUAAAUCUAGUAGACUCUUCCUCAGGAAGCUUGAUUAAAAAGCUGAUGCGAACUUUUGGUACCCUAGGAAUAAAAUUUCCCUACUGUCAUGCUUUAGUCAUAAGCUCACAAACAAUUAGCAAAGUUUCUAUAGGGAUUUAGCUUGAUUAUAGUUUCACUUAUAAUUCAGAUUUAGACCUAAGAUUUGAGUCCAAGAUACCUAAAUUUUUUAUUGAACCCGCGUCUCGGUCUCAGAAGAGGACGAAGGGAAAACAAAGAGUGUUUAUGGUCUCUGAAACAAAUUGACUUUCUAGUGGUUAAAAGUCACAAAAGAACAAAAUUGCCGCACUAAGCAAAGCAAUAUAAUCACUUGUCAUAUAAAUAAUUUUAGUAAAAUGAAUGGCAUUACGAAAGAUCUAACUAUGGAUGAAAAGUCUAAAUAUAUGCUUGUUGAUCAUGUUUCUCAGGUGCUAGAUAGGAGCUCCACUAAUAUAUAUCCAAUUUAUGGUUCCACCAAGAACGGUCAUUGCGAAGGAGCUAAACAUUUUUGAAAAGUCAAAAGGAUGAAGGAAUGCAAGUGUGCCACUAACGGUGGAUAAGUAAUUGAGGUGUAUACGUUAUUUUAACAUAGGGUAGUAGCUUUUGAGAUUUGAGUAUCCUUCUUCAUAUAGCCAGGAUUGACUAAUAAAGCAGAACAAUUUGGAAGUUACAUAGAGAUGGAAACUUGUCAUCUAAUACAUGUUCAUAAAAUAAAAGUAAAGUGGCAUGAUCUCAUUGUUAAAUUGUUUUCAUGUAGGAAUUAACCUCAGUACAUGCUUUAUUCGCACGUGGUACAUGCGAGCAGGUAGCCUUAUAGAGUCAAAAGCUAAAAACUCCAAUUGCGGUGUUUUUUUACUUUGCCACAGGAAAAUAUGUUGAGAGUUUAUUAAUUUGGUCUUCUUCUAAUAGCUUUUUUAAAUUUCACUUUAUCAAACAACACUACACUCUAGUCAGGCCAAAUAAGCUACAUUUUUUUCAUCUGCAACCAACUUCUAUAGGGUUAAUACAUUGCUGCUCCAUGAUGGAUGGAAAGCUCAACUACUUGAAAUUGUUAAAUCCAUGCAAGUAAAGCUAUUAAUUGAAGUAGGAAAACAAAGUAGAAACUAGUGUAGUUACGUAACCCAAACAAACACACACCUCACUGUAAGAUAUCAUGAAACUACAUAUUUAAAAUUGGUCAAUUAGCCAUCAUUCACCAUGUAUGUGUCAUCUCCAACAAAUUAGCAAUUGUAAACACACAUGUUUGUUGUAGGAAAAAUUUAUAGUGCCACUUUAUCUGAUUAUUAAUUAAUAGUCGAUGGUAGACUCAAGAUCAUUAAAGUAGAUUCUCCACUAUAGAGUGGUAAUUAGUCCAUAGUAUAUUUGUGCUAUGAAUUUAUGCGCAUUAAAUACCAAAAGAAAUAAGAGAUAAUAUUUAGAAUAAAGAUAAAAGAACUAGUUUAUUACGCAAAAAAAAAGAAGAAAAGAGUUAGGCACCUCUCUCUGGCAAUUAUGGCAGGAAUAAUGCACAGAGGUCUGUGAAUUAUUGGAGCAGCUUUUCGGAUAUAACUUGAUUUGUGCCUCCUUAACUAUUUCUUAAUAAGAAAAUACUUUGCUCACAAAGUUUGCUGACGUUGAUACGGUAGUACUAUUAUGAUCGUCAUAUUCUUUUCUCGUAAAAUACAUCAAAUUAAUUAAAUUUUUCGUACCUGCAUGCUGGAGAAAAUUUGUAUAAUGUAAAAGCGGCUGUAGUAAUUUUAUCUCCUGGUUUUAAUCCCUUCCGCUAAUUAGUCAAGUGGCUUGAAAAGUACCCUCGCAUUUUAUGUAGAUACGGCCUAUGCAUUUUACCAUUAAGUGGCUAGCAUUAACACUAAUCCUUGACCCAGACCCUAGUAAAGUCUCUUUCCAUUGGGUCUUCCUUUAGGAUGAUUCGAUUCAUAACAACGACAGCUAAAGUGGGAGAGAGAGAGAGAGAGAGAGAGAGAGAGAGAGAGAGAGAGAGAGAGAGAGAAAGGGAAAAUUUCUUUCUCUGCAUGUGAUAAUUACAUCCAUGAUUUUAUCACCAAUGAGCUGGUCACUCUGAGGAAUGUUAUAUAAGCAUACACUAAGCUCCUCUUCACUCCAAACCUUUAAAGAACUUGAUUAACUCUUUUCCUAUACAUUGCUCAUCAUCUUCAUCUCCAUUCUCCUCUUCAUUAGUACUCCAAGUCACCAGCCUUGUAACAUUUCAUGGAGAAAGGUUGCUCCAAUAAGAUAGAGAGAGAAGGCUCACAAGGUGAAGGGGAGAUAUGGGUCAAUGAUUCAUCAGUUGAUCACAUGGGGAGAGUUCCUCUCAGAGCCUCAACUGGAGCUUGGAAAGCAGCCCUUUUCAUAAUAGGUAACGUUGAAAACCAGUCAUAAUUUACUACUGUAGCAGAAUUAGGGCUCUUUUGGCCUGAUCGGAGUUAUUUACACAAAUAUUUUUUGAGUAGAGCUAUUCGAAGAAGAUUAUAGGACCUUCGUAGCUUCUUACUAAAGCAAAUGUAGAAGCUUCGGAUUGUGACUUCUGUUUCUGUGUUUGAUUAGUUUCUACUGCCGCAGAAGUUUCACAUUUUUUAGAAUUGUGACUUUUGUUUCUAUGUUUGGUUAUUUUCUACUGCUGCAAAAGUUUCAAACUUUUUACUAGCCAAAUGCCUGGACUUUGGAAUUUUAGUUUUUAAAAUAUAGAACAAAAGCGGUCAAAUAAAAAAUUAUUUCUAUAAUUAUGUAUAAAAAUGUUACGAAGCACACCGCAGCUGCUACUGUAAAUCAUACCAAAGUGCAAAAUACCAAUGAGAUUGAAAAUUGAGAACUUUUGUUGGUGAAGGUAGAUUUCUGCAUGGUUUCUGAAAUGUAAAAAUACAUAAAGUUUUUUUUUAAGUUUGCAUGAAUUUAUCAGUUAUUUCUAAAGUUUUGUUGAAAUAUUCCACUAACUGGUCCUAAUUUUCGAAAUGCUGUGUUGGCGGCAGUGAUCGAGUUUAGUGAGAGGCUGAGCUACUUUGGGCUGGCUACCAACCUGAUCAUAUACCUGACUAGAGUGCUGCACCAGGAGGUCAAGACUGCGGCCAAGAAUGUGAACUAUUGGCAGGGGGUCACCACCCUGAUGCCUCUCUUUGGCGGCUUCAUCGCAGAUGCGUACCUAGGGAGGUUCUCCACUGUUCUUUGCUCUUCCGUCAUCUACAUACUGGUUAGCCCUGCCUCUCUAUUUCAUUUUCAUUUAUAUGUUACGUUAUGCAUUUGUGAGGUGCAGAUUCUCUGUAAAUUUAGUACGUCGAAAACUAUUGUAUAUUGAUGAACUAAGCUAUCCAUCCAUAGUGUGGGGCACAUCCCAACCAUUAAGAGCGAUUUGAUAGCCAGCCAAGAUGUUCUUUUCGUGAAGGGCCAGAUUAACUGUAAAAUUUCCUGUGCGCUGGGUUUAGAUGCUCGACAUGUUGACUAGUAGAUUGAACUCAAGGUUUCAAUAUCUAGUUGGCUCUCUCCAAAUUUCUUGAUGCUCUCAAAAUUUUUCAAUCGAUAACCAAAUCCUUCAUGUGUAAUUUCUGUUUCUUUUUGCAGGGUCUUGUUCUCUUAACCUUGUCGCAACUCGCCCCAAGCCUAAAACCCUGCGACGCCGCAGAGACGUGCCACCGAUCCCUGCACAUCCACUCGACCAUAUUCUUCACGGCCAUGUAUCUGAUCUCCAUCGGCACUGGUGGGCACAAGCCCUCGCUGGAGAGCUUCGGCGCCGACCAGUUCGACGACGACCAUGCGGGCGAGAGGAAGGCGAAGAUGUCUUACUUCAACUGGUGGAACUGCGCCCUGUGCUCUGGCCUAAUGCUCGGCGUCACGCUCAUCGUGUACAUGCAGGAUAAGGUGAGCUGGGGGGCGGCUGCUAUCGUGCUCACCGCGGUGAUGGUGUUUGCGCUUGCAGUGUUUUUGGCAGGAAGGCCGUACUACCGGUACAGAGAGCCCGAGGGUAGCCCGUUGGUGCCGAUGUUGCAGGUUUUGGCUGCGGCGGUGACGAAGAGAGGGCUUGCUCUUCCGGAGGAUGCCGCAGAGAUGUACGAGAUUACGAAGCCGGAGAAGAGUAAGAAGAAACUCCUAAUGCAUACUGAUAAGCUCGGGUGAGAUUUUUUUUUUUUUUUCGAGAAAAAGUUAGCUUGCUAUCUGUUUCUUUCAAUAAGAAUAUAAAUUAGACUAUAUUGGUGAGACAAUGGAGCCUUCUCGAAAAAGAAAUCAAAAAAGGAGAACCCCCACAAUUUAUGCAUUAGGAUACAUCAUCUGCUUUCACCUAUUACAGUAAGCCUCCUAAAGCUUCAAAAGUGGUUGUUUUUUCCUUUAACUUUUAGAGUUCUGCAAAAGAGUGUUCUUUUUGUUUUUGUCUUUUUUUUUUUUCGUUUUAACUCUAGAAGAUUCUUUAGAGAGAGCUUGUCACAUAGAAAAACAAAUCAAGCAUUUUAGAGAGGUUAACGGAUAAUUUUGAUAUUUUUUAGGUGCAAAGAUGAAAUUACUUGUAGAUUGAAGUUUUCUAAAUUAGUUAAAAUUGAAAGACAAAAUUUCUUCAGAUUUCUUGACAAAGCCGCAAUCAUGGAGCACAAGGAAGAUACAACGGCCGCAGCUGAGAAGCCCAACCCGUGGCGGCUUGCAACUGUCACCCAAGUUGAGGAGACGAAGCAGGUCCUCGCCAUGAUCCCCAUCUGGCUCUCCUCCCUUCCCCUCGGCAUUUGCAUCGCGCAAGGCUCCACCUUCUUCAUCAAGCAAGCCAGCAUCAUGGACCGCAAGCUCGUCCGCAGCUUCGAGCUCCCUCCAGCCUUCGUCUACUCCUUUUCCGCCAUCGGCAUGAUUCUCUGCGUCUCCUUCUACGACAAGAUCCUUGUCCCCUUCCUACGCAAAACGACCGGGAACGAGCGGGGGAUAAACAUGCUCCAAAGAAUCGGAAUAGGAAUGCUAUUCUCCGUAGUUGCAAUGGCCACCGCAGCCGUCGUAGAGCAGAAGCGACUCGACGCAGGCGUGGCGGACGCCAUGAGCGUGUUCUGGUUGCUCCCGCAGUUCAUGAUACUUGGUUUCGGCGACGGUUUCGCCUUAGUAGGCUUACAAGAGUACUUCUACGACCAAGUCCCGGAUAGUAUGAGGAGUCUGGGAAUAGCCUUCUAUUUAAGCGUGCUAGGUGCGGCGAGCUUUUUAAGUAGCCUAUUGAUCAUCAUUGUUGAUCAUGUCACGUCCUGGGGCGGCAAAAGCAGAAGCUGGUUUGCGAAGAGCUUAAACGAAAGCCGUUUGGAUCUCUUCUAUUGGCUUUUGGCCGUUAUAAAUGCCGUUAACUUGUGUGGGUAUGUGUAUUUGGCGAGUAGGUACUCGUACAAGAGUGUGAAGAGGAGGGUGAUGGGGAUCUCUAACUCAUCGGAAGAAGAUGAAGAUAUGGAGGAUAAUGUUUCUUGAUCCAAGUAUAAGUUAGCUCUGUGGUAACUGUGGCGCUUAGUAUCGAGUAUAGAUCUUAUGAAAUACGCUAUGUAGUACAUGCGAGUAAUAGCAGCGGCAUGUGGGAAAUAUGUGAGUGGGGCACGCACUAUAUAUAUAUAUAUAUAUAUAUAUAUAUAUAUAUGCAUUGUCUUGCCACUUUAUAGUAAGGAAUGCUUUGUAACAAAUGUUUGUAACAAUUGUCUUGCCACUUUAUAAGUGAUUUACCAGUGCGUUUGCUGGGUGGAUAGAAUUUGGUCCCAAAUUGUGCUUCUAUUUCAAGGACUAAUAAGGAGAAACUUUGGAAACGCCCGACAUAAGUACAAUUUUGGACAACUAAUAUAUAUAUAUUUUUAAUAACCCGAACCUUCUACCUCUCUCUGACAUCCUUGAUCUUUCCUCCAUCUCAUCUUUGGCUAAUUUUAGUCAAAUUACCUGUAAUCCAAUAUCGAUUAUACUCACCAAUGAGGAUUAUAUCUUAAUAAGGAUUAUAUCUUUUGACGCGAUACUGAUGUAGGAUAAGCUCAAAAAUUUUAAUCUAAAAGAAAAAAGAGGGGGAAAAAAAUGAGGGCAGAAAAAUUGAUUUAUAGCCACUAAUUUAUAAAAAGUAUAUAUAUAUUUUUUACUUAAUUCAGGUGUAAUUCCGGUAACUUUAAUAUUUCUAAAAAAAAUAUAAUUACUAAUUAACUAAAAUAUUACAUUAAAUAUAUUAGAGGUUAAGACUUCAGAGAAUAUUAAUGAAAAAAAAAUUGAACUUAGCACUCUAUUUCAAAAUGGCAUAUAUUCUUACUUCUCAACAUUUCUGGUAAAACUGUAUAGAGACCUGCAAAACUAUAGUUAUUUUUGAAAAUGCAACUUUAAUUUUUUUGGUAAGUAUUCUUUAUUUAUUUUUUAUGAGUUUUUACACUUAAUUAAGUUAAAAUUUUUAAUUUAAACUUUUAUUUACUUAUAGCUAAAAUUAUUCAAUUCCAAAAAUCAAAAGUUAAGAACUUCUUAAUAUUAAAAAAAAAAGUUGAGGGGCCAAUUUCUGAAAACUGUGUAGUUGAGGGGUCUCCGUACAUAUUUUCCUACAAAAAAAAGUUGAGGGGACAAGUUUCUGAGAAUUGUGCAGUUGAGGGGUCUCCGUACAUAUUUUCCUACAUUUCUCUCGCCCAAAGCAUCCCUGGCACCGCGUAAUGAGACCAUCUCCUGCGUUUCGCUCUCACCCUCUCCGCCCCAAUCGUCUCACUCGACGAAAUCCUCUGUUUAGGCUGAGACCUCCGGUGCGGACUGACCCCAUAAAACACAAAUUGGUUUCGGUGAGUUCGUCUCCUCUCUUCUUUCUCUCGCUGCUGUUAGAAACCCUAACUUCGAUCGAUCUCUUUGCUAACAAUUUGAGCAUAAGAUUAAAAAAAAUAAUAAUAAAAACAAAACUUCUUGUCGCUUCCUAUUCUUUCUUCUAUAUUAAGAGGGGAAUUCAUGUGAAAAAGGUUUGAGAUUAAACUCAGUUAAUGAGUUUGAUGCAUAUAACAAUGCUACAAGGCAUACUGCAAUAACAAAGGCCUUGAUAGGAAUUAGAGAACAAUAAUUAGUUCAAAAGAUCAACUUUCCAUCAAUUUAUAUUCUCUCUUUCUUUUUUUUAUGAUGAUUUGAAACCAUGGCAUACUAUGAAACCUUAGGAAUGGUAUGCUUUGGCCUCAGAAAACUCCUUUUUUUUUUUUGGUUUCUUCUUUCAAUCUAAAGAUUAAGCUCUAAAUGGUCCCGAUUUGUUCAUUCGUAUAGUGUUUUUUUUUAUUCUGCAAUAAGCAUUGAAUAAUUAAAUUUACUUUGUUCUAGUCUUUUUGAUAUUUAGAACAUUAGUUUAAGAAAUUGAUGCUUUUAGUUGUUAACCUCUGCAUUUGCUUGUAAAUAUAAGAAGUAAAACUCGAGGGGCGAUGAUCUGAAUCCAUGUCAUAUAAACUUAUGAAACUUUUAGAAGAUCUUUGAAGUACAAAUCAAAAAUUAACGUUUGUUGUAGCUCUCUAAUUUGGAGGUAUGAUUUCUUGCUGAUGAGCAGAAUCCUUGUCAGUUACUGCCUUCUUAGUAGGAGCUUUGCGGAGUAGAAGUAUAAGAUCUUUGUGUCACGAACUUAGCGUUUUCGUUCGCAAAGCCCGUGCGGCGCCCACCUUUCUUCGCAGAGAUGGACAAGCCUUUGUCCCUGUUGUUAGCCCGGAUCUUCGCAUCCUACGACUAAAUAUGCAAAGGGAAAAAACAAAAGAAAGAGGCAGAGAUUCUCUCAAAAAGCUAAGUACUCCACUACUUAGAAAAAGAGAUUACAGUAUACAAACACAUCAUCUCUUGUGUGUUUUGGCCUUAGCCAACCCCACUAUUUAUAGGCUCCUAGGUACAUUAAAUCUAGCCCUCAACACACCCACUAACUCAUACAUAAUGAGCCCUCAUAAUAGCUAAAGGCUCAAGAGUCACACCAUAACUCAUGACAGUUUUGCAAUCCUUGAGUUUCUCACAGCGGGUUGGGUUUGGGUCUCCUUGACAAUCCGAUUCAACCCGUUUUUGCUAGUAGAGUUGGGCCAGGGACCGGGCUGCCACAGAAUUUUCUAAGUCCCUGACAUUUGGCUUCCUUUACAUUCUCAAAUUUCUAUAAUGUUAUGCUUGGGAUUUCCGGUGAUACUUCUUAUGCUACAAAGACGCUUUUCUUGUCUUCAUCAUGCUUGAUCUAUUCAUUCCUUGUUUUCGUUUCUUAACUGUGCAUAUAUCUACAUUUAUGUUGCAUAUCAAAUUAUCAGGCAAUUAGAAUCUGCUAUGACCAGUGUCCAUGCACUCGUAAACAAUAGUUUAGUAGGAAGAGAAGAGUAUGGGGCAAAUAUGUGUAGAAAGAGUGAAAUUUGUUGUCUUUUAUGGUCCGUUUGGUGUUGAGGGUGAUCUAAUGCUAUUGGGAACAACGGAGUUUUUGGCAAAAGCAUAUAGAAAUAUGUUUCUCAUUUUUCGGUGGGACGGCAGAGAAUACGUCGCAAUUGAGACAUUGUAAUGUUCACAACAUGUACAUGUGGUAACAAACGAGACAUAACACAACCUUUCCACAAUUCCAGAAGGAGAUAUGUACCCUACGAUCGCUCAGAUUUGAGCUAUUUAUUCCUUACCUUCUUUUUUUGUUUAAUUGAAGUUAUAUGUUUGUCAUAUCUCUUCUAUCACAUUGAACUGUCGAAAUGUGAAUCGAUAAAUAGAAAUAGCUCCUUGAAGAACUUCAACUUGUAAAAUUAAGAAGGUUAGAGAACCUUUACUGGAGGUGAACUGAUUGCUAUAAAAAAAAGGACAGACUCAUUAGCAGUAAUUGCCCUUCUGCUUUUUCUACUACUUAGUAGCUUGAGGCCAUUUGCAAGGCCAAACAGCAAUAACUUGUUCUCUAAUAAUGUGCUUAUCGUAUUAUUGGCAAAGAUUUCUACUUACAAAAGAAUGGAAUGGUAAACCAUAAACACAUACUAAUUUACAAAGAAUUGUACUUUUCAGAAGGGAGUCGUAAGUAAAUAAAGCGAUGGAAGGAUCAUCGCCGGAAGAAGGUUCCGGUGCCAACAACUCGCCGCUUGUGACGAAACUAAGGAAACUGCUAUUCCGGCGGAUGCUGGUAGGGGUGGAGGACGGCCGCUUCUUUCUCGGCUUAUUCCACUGCAUUGACAAACAAGGUAAUAUUAUCCUCCAGGAUGCGAUCGAGUACCGCAGCACCCGCCGCUCCGGCCCGUCCUCCUGGGAGCAGCGCGGCCUCGGGCUUAUCCUCAUCCCCGCCACAUGUCGUUGCUCCUGCCACGUUGACUGCUCCAUAGAGGAGCAGAUGUCCCUCUUGUCCAUAGACAAAUGAAACCUACUUGAAGAGAUUCAAAGUUCCCUGUGUCAUAUUCUGGUUUUGGUCUCUUUGAGACUCUGUGGCUUAUGCUUGUUGCUGCAGAGAUUUUUAUUUCGCUGUGAAGAGAGGUAUUCACUCUUUCUUCUUUUGGAAAGGAAGAAAAAGAAAGUUGCUCUGCACUCUGAUUCUGAGAAACUACGGUGGCUUGGUCAUUUUUGAGUAAAAUAAGUGGUUUUCCUUUUUCUGUUUUUCGGAUUGCAGCUUAGGAUUUGUGUUAGAUAAUCACCCUUUUGAAUGACUCUGUGUAUGAAGGGGCUAAACCUGGAAUGGUGUCGUCAAGGAGCGGCACCGCUGUUCAGUAAUAAGAUCAAACAAGGGGCAGGUGUGUGGCUAUCUAGCUUGCAUGUAAGAUGUUUGUAGAAAUGACAAAUCACAAUAUAUGGGUUGAUUCUCAUUCUUCCUGCUGCAUUAAUGUAUUUCAUCACACAACCAAUCAAAUUGCUGUCCAAGAACAUGUCCACCCAUUUAAUUUUAUAUAUAUAUAUAUAUAUUACUCCAAUAAAUUCAACUCUAAUGCUUUAGAGAUGUACAAAAGGAAUUUGAUACAUUAUCCAAAACCGGCAAAUUCUAUAUUUAUCAUACAAGGCCACCAAUAAAAAUUAUACCAAGUCAGCCGGCCCACUUAGCCGAGCACUAUUCUAAAGCACAAGCUGAACCUACUCGGCCACGCUGGGGCACGUCCUGGUUCACUGCAAACACCAUAUAGGACCCUGGCGGCACCACCCUCCCAUUGGGAGGCGCCGUACACCUUAUAUGGUAGCUGUACGGUGCCACUGCGCCGCCGCCAACCCCUAUCGCCACUGCAGGUCUGACCAUCCUAUGCCCCUGCGAGAACGAGUGUGGCGCGAAAGGCACGCUCGGCAUGCUCACCUCCACCGUCCCCACCACCGGCAUAGCUGCUGCCACUACCUGCACCAUAAAUGCUACCCCGUACACCACCGGGUUCAGCCCCGUCGACGUGCUCUUGGUCGAAGAGGAACGAGCAUGAAGGAGAGAGAUAGGAGAGAGACUCAUGUUAUGUUAUGCUAGAAAUUAGAAGAGAGCCCAACAAUGAAGCAAAACUAGUUCUUAGUGUUAAAGCAGAAAAAGAACAACGAAUACUGCCUACUAAUAUAAUAGUUUAAAUUAAAUAUACGGGAAAAGAAAAGGAAAACUCGUCCUGUUCUCCAACCAACUCGAAUCACGUACGUGACGUACGUCGGAUUCAAUCGCUCUUAUUAUCCAAAAGUAAGAUUUUAUUCGUAAGAAAUCCGGGCCUCAAUUUAACAAACACGGCCCAAAUAUAAAACUUUUCUCGACGGCCCAAUUGGAUUCAGGCCCGAUCUAACAGGUCUUUAGAUUUACAUCCGACAAAUCUAUUUUUAUUUUUAUUUUUUAAUCUCUCACUGAGAGUCUGAGAUACCGAAUGCACCCCACGACAAAGUGACAAACAGAUGGCCACCCGAACCCAUAACCCGAAGUUCUUUUUUAAAAUAAAUAAAUAAUCCCAGAAAAUAAUAAAGCCACCCUGGCUCCAGUGGAGUCUUGUCCUUGUCCGGUCCCUGUGGUAGGUAGUGGUACCAAUUUGGAUCGCAUUUCGGCGAUGGCGGCGGGGGGGCAGGGGAUGGAUCCGGCGGUGGUGGACGACGUAAUCGGGAGGCUGGUGGAGGUGCGGUCUGGCAGGACCGGCAAGCAGGCCCAGCUGUCCGAGUCGGAGAUCCGCCAGCUCUGCCUCGCCUCCCGCGACAUCUUCCUCGCCCAGCCCAACCUCCUCGAGCUCCAGGCCCCCCUCAAGAUCUGCGGUUAGCUCUCACCAACCACCUCCUCCCCCCCCUAUCUCUCUCUCUUCUCCUUUUUUAUUCUCUCGUGAUUGAGUUUUUACGAUCUGUUAGAUAAAUUUAAGGGGAAGUUGUUGGUUUGGGGGACUAGGAAUUUGGAAUCAGAAACCGAAAAAAGGGAAAAAAAAAGAAGAAGAAGAAGAAGUUGAAAGUUAGUUGAUUUAGUUUUCUGAUCGUAAGCAUUGAGAAAAAACACACACAAAAAAAGAGAGGCUUUUUUUAUAAUUUAUGUGCCUCGUGUGUAUAUUCUGUUAGAUUUAUUUAUGUUAGUGAGGAUCAUAUGCUGAAAGGGUAGUUGUAACAAGCAUUUUUUGUUAUCAUUCGACGGAAAAGGGCAUUCCUUGUUGAGUUUGGUAUGCUGAAAGAAAUGCUAACAAGCGAAAUUGCAGGGCAUGUAGAAUCUUUGUUAAAGUGGAAAUUAUACAAAUUGUUGAAGUCGAGAAGCACUUCGAUGUAUCGUGUUUUCAUCGCAUUAUUUUAAUGCUGCAAGACAAUGUAGAAUGGCUCUUGGCGAUCGGUCUUUAUGCGACUGAAUGGAAGUUAGAAAACAUCAUAAAAAUGUGUACUGUUUGGAACAUUGCGGUUCCAUUCAAAUAAUUGAUAAGAAACAAUCAUUCUCGUGCAAAUUUGGGCUAGAGCUAGUUGAGAUUAAUUGAGUAGAAACGAUGUUUCAAAUUUGUAGUAGGUGUAAGCCUUUUCGCUACAGUUUGGAUGGUUAAGUUUGCAAAUUUUUGUGAUUUCGGCCAUGUUUGGAUGCAUCAGCAAUCUUAUUCAGGAUAUCUCUUUGAUUUGUGCAAGAAGUAUGUAGUAUUUGGUAAAUGAGUGGUGUGAUCACAUGUCUAGAAUGAAUACCAUAUUCAGCGUUUAAGUUAUUUUAUAAGAAUAAGAAAAAUCAUUUCGUGGGUGAAAUAUGUUAUGCUACUAAAUCGUGAUGACAAUGCAUUUCAAGGAGCAAAAAAUCAAGCUUCUAGAUUCUAAUCACUUAAGAAAAUCUUCAUACAAAAUAGGUUGUCAUUGAAUAUCCUAUUCCGACAUCCAAACAGAGCCAGUUGAUCUUUGUUUGUUACUCAUAAAGAGACAGAUGUCUUGACCCAUAUGUGAUCUUACGACUUGGGAUUGGGCAAAUGUGCAUAAUUCUAUCCUCGCAUGCCGAGAGACUAUUUCUCACUAUCUGAACUCAUGAGUUGACCUUUUGUUCUUCUCUAACAGCCCUUUGUAUUCACUGCUUCAGAGAAGCUUUCACAUUCCUUGAAGUGGUACAAUUAUAAUAUGCAAUGUUUUCCUUGGUUAUUUUCAGUAUGAAGACGGGUAGUGUUUUGGAAGAAUUUAUUCUUAUCACAUUGUCUGCUUUGUCAUAAUCAGAUUGGUUAGUAGUAUUCGCUAUGAAUUCCUGAGUACUUCUUUUAUUAGUGCAUACAAGGAUAUAAUUGGGCUUUGCAAAUUAUUUCCAUGCUAUGACAUUUUGAAUGCAUUGGUUGGUCAGCCACCAAAUUUUUCGGCUUAAUAAGAAAAAGUUUUCUUUUUUUUUUUUUUUAAUAUACAUUCUGACUAUCAUCAUCUAUACUUUGUUAGUUGUCCCAACAUUUUAUUACUUUUCAGGUGAUAUUCAUGGCCAGUACAGUGACCUGUUAAGGUUGUUCGAAUAUGGGGGUUUCCCACCUGAAGCCAAUUAUUUGUUCUUAGGCGAUUAUGUAGAUCGGGGAAAGCAAAGCUUAGAAACAAUAUGUCUACUUCUUGCAUACAAAAUCAAGUACCCAGAGAACUUUUUCCUUUUGAGGGGAAAUCAUGAAUGUGCUUCAAUAAAUAGAAUAUAUGGAUUUUAUGAUGAAUGUAAGCGGCGAUUUAAUGUGAAACUGUGGAAAAUCUUCACCGAUUGCUUUAACUGUCUCCCUGUUGCUGCCCUAAUUGACGAUAAAAUCCUAUGCAUGCAUGGCGGCCUUUCUCCUGAUUUAUCUAACUUGGAUCAAAUAAAGACUUUGACUAGACCAACUGAUGUACCGGACACGGGUUUAUUAUGCGAUUUGCUUUGGUCAGAUCCUGGUAGAGACAUUCAUGGUUGGGGAAUGAAUGAUAGAGGAGUUUCUUACACUUUCGGCGCAGAUAAAGUCUCCGAAUUUCUGUCAAAGCAUGAUCUUGAUCUUGUUUGUCGCGCACACCAGGUUAGAAGAUAUAGUUUCUUUACUUCAUAUUCCUACAAAAUCAUCUAUUUACAUGUAUACCCAUACAAAAUCUGAAUUUUCAGACAUACCCCUUGUAAAAUGCAGUUCAUUAUGGAUUGCCUUAUCUUAAGUUGGGGCACCAUCAAAUUCAUGAGUGGUGUUCAUUUUUGUGGAAAAUGCUGUUGAAGAGCGUCAGUUUUGUUACUAUAAGGUUUAUGUAUGAGAAGAAUUUUGGAAUGGCUUAUAUGAAAGUUCAGAUUUUGCAGGGAUAUGUCUGUAAAUAGAUAAUUUGCACGGUUAUAUAUGUUAGUAUAUAUACUACGUUUUGUAUUUUUAAUUUUUUCUUUAAAUAUAUUCAGGUAUUUAUGUAAUUGCAGGUUGUGGAGGAUGGUUAUGAAUUUUUUGCUGAUAGGCAACUAGUAACAAUAUUUUCAGCUCCUAAUUACUGUGGUGAAUUUGAUAAUGCCGGUGCAAUGAUGAGUGUUGACGAAACUUUGAUGUGCUCUUUCCAAAUUCUCAAGCCUGCCGAGAAGAAGCCAAAAUUUGGCAUGUCAACAAGAAUAUGACAGUGAAGGCACCUGAUUUUGUAUUGCCGGUAUGUUACACAUGUAUACAUCUUUUGGCCAUCUGUUAAUGUAGUUAACACCUUUUCUGUGAGAAUAUUAGUAUUUGUACGGUGCUUAUGUCAAUGUCAUGAUUCAAAAAUCUAGAUGGAAUAUUUGUUUCACCUCGUCUGUUAUGUGCUGGCCUUCACAAGCACACUUAUAAAGAGAAGUAAGCGACAUGUUAGUGGACUAAAAUUUUCCUAACACACGAAUUUCAUCCAUAUUACUUUACAAAGUCUUUCUGUUAUCAUGCUUGAUGGUCUGUGUUUGCUUAUUUUCAACUAUGUUUUGCAUAUCAAGUUAUAUAUAUUGUUCCAUAGAACUGAAGGCAGUAAAGAUGUGAGAGCAAGACAGAGUUGAUGCAGUUCUCGAGCUUGCCUCCUUCUAUUGAGCAGAAUCAAACUACUGCUGACCUCAAACUCCAGCUCCAAAUCCUGGAUCCAAGCUGGAUUUACUAAUUAUCUUAGCGGCAAGAUCUCCUGAACAGUAUGAUCCUAUUAAAAAACUCAAUAUGCAUGUUAGUGUUCACAGAAGUUUUGCAAUGUUGGAGUAUGCUGCUUGAGAUGAUUUUGUUCUAGAACAAAACCAAGGUCAAGGUGGCCUUUUCUGAGCAAAAUGCGAGGUAUUCAUGAACAGUUGGUUCUUUCACAACCCUAGGUGAAACAUGUGGCGUUAAACAGACAACAUGUAUUAGUAGAAAUUUAUUUUAAUUGAUAAAAGUACACAGAUGUUAUUUUGACCACAUAACACCACGGUUGUUUGAUUUCAGAAAUCAACUGUCAGAAUCAACCAUUCCUGUCAAAAAGUUAAAAAAUGUUAUGUCUGGUAAUUUACAUAAAAUUUAGAGAGUUAUCAUAAUCAAAUGGUCAGGUCAAAAGCUACUGAAGUGCAGGUAACCAUUUCGAAAUGCUCUAUGAUUCAGGUAUGUUCUGUACCUUUUUUGUGACUAUUAUGAUUUAGCUAAGGAUAGUACCUUGUAACAGCAAACUUCAAUUACAAUAGUGACUCACAAGACUAGAAGAAAAUUUUUACCAUUUUAGACACCACAUAAUAAUCACAUAAGGCAUGAUUUUACUGCUUCCAAAUCUUGCAUUUUUCUCAUCCUUUCUCCAGUUUUUGCGCGCCUUUCUGAAAGAAAAUUUUCUUUUGUCAGGCUGCUAUAUAAUUUUACACCCGAAGACAACAUGCAUGCAGAGGUUUGCGAACUGCAGAAUUUUACAUCAAAUGAGGUGUCAUCAGCGAACGAAGUAAUUUCGCUUCGGCGACCCUAAAGGGAUAUCGAGAGCAAUUCAUUUUCGGAUAGCAAAUGAUUUAGUUUUUCUUUUUCCCUUUUGCUUUUUCGAACUGUGCUGCAGCCUGCAUGUGUAUAUACUUAUCCUGUGCAUUUUGUUUCGUUGGAGUAAUGCUGCAACCUCAUAAAUGUUUCUGAAAAUACAGUUGAUAAGUCAACUUUCCAUAUUCGUAAGCUCAUUGUUGGUCGCCUUUUCAUACUCGAUAUCUACUGCAGGUAUCGUGCCAGAUAUCGGAGAAGCUAAAUCACUAGCGAAUCACUGCAUUAGGUUUUCUGAUUUAUCAACUGCAUUCUUAUCUUCUAAGACUCAAAAAGCUUCACUCUUUUGUUGACUAGAAAAACCUAUCAGUCCAAGAUAAAGAUCAUCAUGGAUAGGAUAACGAAAAGCCCAUAUUUGGAUCAUCUAAACAUUAUUGUACCAUGCCGUUUGCUAUGAAGCUUGUAUUCUGUUUCCGGAUGUUAAACAUGACAACUUUUGAAAGGUUUGGAUAUGGUUAUUUUAAUGUGCUGAUAUUUUGAUGAUACAAGAGUAUAGGAUUGGUUGUGAAUGAGAAUUUCAUCUUGCUUGAGUUUGGUUGAAAAGAUGUACAAAUCAUAUUUAUUAAUUAUUAAAUUGCCUAUUCUUGAGUUAUGUCCAUGGUGUAAUCGUAACUAUCAAGGUCCCAUAAGGCAAUAACACUCCUCAUGGUGUAAGCGUAACUAUCAAGGUCCCAUAAAACACUCCUAGUGGGCAGAUGAGAUGGAUUGAACAUUUACUUUAUUAGUGGUGAUUGUUGAAACAUAAACAUGUGACUAAAAUACGGGUCUUUGAAUGAUGAAAUUAAUCUUCAGUGCUCCAUUUUAUUUUAUACAUGAAGAAUCAUUCUGAGCUUGGGAAUACGGCAUUAGAAAAUGACUCGAGCCUAGUGAUUUCCAUGGUCAUUGCGCGCGUUAAACAAAGCUAUCAUCUCAGUAGAGAAUGGUAGUAUCUAAUUGAUUACGUGAAUGACGUAUGAAUUCAACUCUCUUAUUCAAAAAAAAAAAAGAAAAAGAAAAAGAAAAAGAAAAGUUGAUAUUAUAUUUUUUUUAAAUAAUUCAAAAGGAUGCUCACUAACAGACUUUUAUGAAAGAAGACUAAAUAGAAAAGAGGAAAAAGUUGAAUAUUUUUAAGAUUAUAUGAAAAUUCAAUAAUUUGAAAACCUGGUCAAUAAGACCGGUUUGAUCGUGAUUGAGUGUAUAAAGUGAUUUGAUACAAUCUUUUAAAUCGGAUAAGUAAAAAAGUCACUUUGAACCAUUUGAACCAAUGAGCUGGUCCAAUCUUAUUUAAACCGGCCGGAUUUUUUGAUCAAAUUAUACUAAAAUUCAACAACUUAAAAUCAACUUAAUUAGCUGAUUUUAUUUUCUGCUAGCAUAAAUUAAUUUUCUAAAAAGUAAAAAUUUGAAAACUUAUAUUUACUUAAUUUGGUCUAAAAAUUAAAAUUUUAUAAUUAAGUAUGAUACAAAAAUAAUAAUUUGUGUAUAUUUUUUAUAUAAUAAAAUUAAAAGUAAUAACUAAAUAAUUAUGAUGUCUUGCUGGCCACCAUCGUCUAUUAACAGUCAAUUAUAUCUCUUCUUUCGAGUAAAAGGUAUAAUAAAAAUAUUUUUUAUUAAUUAUGAUGGGACGGGUGAAUUCAAGAAAAAUAAUCUGAUUACUCGAUGAUGUCAUAUCAAUAAUAUAACUAAUACAUUUUAGAUUCUUUUCCUCACGAAGCCAAGAAAAAAAAGACAAUGCAAUUAUAAAGUGGGGCGAUACAAUUUUUUAAACUAAAUAAGUAAAAAAUCACUUUGAAACAUUUGAACCGAUGAACUGGUCCAAUUUUUAUUAAACCAACCAAACUUUUUGAUCAAAUUGUAUUAAAAUUCAAUGGCUUAAAAUCUACUCAGUUGAUUUUAUUUUCUAUUAGCAUAGAUUAAUUUUAUAAAAAAUAAAAUUUGAAAAUUUAUAUUUACUUAAUUUGGUCUAAAAAUUAAACUUUUAUAAUUAAGUAUGAUAAAAAAUAAUAAUAUAUGAUUAUUUUUUAUAUAAUAAAAUUGGGAAGUGUCGCUUGUUGGGGAGCAAAGCCUCCAUUAUAACUUUAGUGCUUGGACAGCUUGCAAAUAAAUGAUCAGCUUUUCGGUAAUUCCAAACAAAAAACACAAUUUUCCUCUCCACUCCAUCCCCUUUUUAAUAGAAUAUCUUUAGUAGGUAAUUUUCUCUUCAAAAGUAGUCAACUAAAGAUCUUUACUUUUAGGGAGGGCUCGAACCUUCCAUAUAUGAUAAAAGCUCUUAUUUCGAACACUGCUAUCAUGUAGGAAGACGUACAUCGACUUGACUGAGAACUUUUCCGACCUAUCCCAUCUCCACUUUACCGUAUCCGGUCUGUUUGGUGUCAGUGACUCCAAAAAAGUCUCUUUAAAUUUCAGCAUCAAAUCUGUGUCUUGCGGGACGGAAGGAAAAAUCUCAGACAGUAUCUUACUCCAGUUCCAUCUGUUCCUUCCCCAACACUCCACUACCAUGAGAUUCUUUCUCACUGCCAUAUCGUAGAUUCGGGAGAAUACAGUUCUCAAGGAAGCGUGAUCAUUUCAAAUGUCCGUCCACAACCUAACUAAUUGCCUAUUGCCAACAAAGUAAGAUACGUACACUAUAUUUAAAAAUUCCUGUGCUUUUAAUACGCUCCUCCAUCAAACAGAAUGCGGUCUGAAGGACACUCCUUCUUUAAGCGGUAUCCUUCUUGUGUAAUAAAUAUCUUUUAGUAAAGGCCCCCAAAUAUGGUUUCUAUCAGUAAAGAACCUUCAUCAUCAUUUAGCUUGUAGGGCUAAAUUCAUGUUAUUUAAAUUUAGCACUCAUAGUCCUCCCUCUUUUUGGUUUUAGCAAAUUACCUUCCACCGAACCAAACAGUGACCACCUACUACAUAUCCUUCUCCUCGCCAAAAAAACGCCCUCCUUAAAGCUUCUAUCCGGUAAGUAACCCAUUUAGGUGCCCUAAAAAUCGAGAAAAAGUAAAGUGGCAAAUUCGCCAAUACCGAGUUGACUAGCACCAACCUCCCUCCUCGAGAUAGGAGUUUCGUUUGCCACCAUUCAACUUUUUUCGCUACUUUAUCUAUUAGUUAUGAUGUAAUGCUGACCACUCAAAGGCUUGAAAGAUUACGCAAUUUUUAUAUAAAUUAUGGUAUGCAAGGAAAAGAUUUUGUGGAUAAACGUCUCGUCUCAUCAACAAACAUAUAGGCACAUGUUUCAACAUGUUACAAUUCGUAAGGGUAAUAUGGAAAAAUAAAUACAAGCCAAUUACCAAAUUUGUUCAACCCUACACAAUUAUUUGUUUCCUUGUUAAUUUUGUUACUUACCAAAUUAGAUAGUGCUAAUUUGAUAAGUAAUAAAUCUUUAUAAAAUUGAAUUUAAAAAUCAAUUUGAGCUUAAUUGUGUAAAGGGUAAUUCUGUGCGGGCUUCACUUUCCAUCGGAGUGAAGUCGACGAUCUACGCAUCGUCUGGAUUACUUGCCGAUUCCUCCCUAAGAUUUCGACGCCAUCAAUGUCGGCAAUGGACAUGGAUUUUUCUCUCAACAAAAAAAAAAAAGAAAAAGAAAAAUAGCUUCGGAGAAGAUGAUUGUGGCCUGGGUGAAAACUUUCCAUCAGAGUAAAUGAGAUAUUUUACAAAGAUGGUAUGUUAUGAGAGUGAAAAUUUACCAAAAUGCUCUCAUUGCAAAGGAAAUUUUUUUUGCCCUUGUUAAAAAGGUGACCGGUACCGAUGGCAUCAAGUACCUGUCACCCUCUUUUAAAAGAUGUAGAGCAAUACUCCUAUACACCAAAAAGAUCUUGAUCCUUAAAAUUUUUUAAAUGAAUGGUGAAAAUUUUUUUUAGUUAAGAGGGUGGCUGGCUUUUGUUGUCUUAGGUACCAGUCACCCUCCUACCAAGGACAAACUAUUUCUCAUAUAUAAAAUUAGUAUAAAGGGCUCUUUUAUAAAUUUUUAUUUUCUUUUCCAUAAUGCCCCUCUAGUAAUUAUAAAAUAUUUCAUUCAAUUUUUGGAAAGUUUUCACUGACAGUCAUCUUCUCCGAAGCUUUUUUUUUUUUUGUUGAGAAAGAAAUCCAUGUCCAUUUUUAAGUCAUAAAUCAUUUAAAUUUCCCAUCGACAAAUUCCUCUUUCUCUUCUAUCUACACUUAAAAUUUUUAAGUCAUAGAUCAUUUUUUCCAACUUCCUCUUCCAUCUUUUAAAUUUCCCAUUGACGGCAACUCAUCUUCCUCUAAACCCAUUUCUCUUUUUUUUUUGGGUUGAGAGAGAAGCCUUUAAUUUAAAUAACAAAUAAAAGUUAUGCUUAUAAAUACAGCAUAAUUUACAAUUUAAAAUAAAUUAAUAUAUUUGAAAUUUCAUGUAAUUUUAAUAUCAAAUUAACAAUUUGAAUUGAAAUAUACUAUUCAUUUAAACAUAAAUUUUUCAUUCUAAAAAUUAAAAUUAAAAUUAAAAUUGAAUUUAAUAUACACAAUUAUAAUGUUUAAGCUCAAAUUGAUUUUUAAAUUCAAUUUUAUAAAGGUUUAUUACUUAUCAAAUUAGCACUAUUUAAUUUGGUAAGUAACAAUAUUAAAUAAGGAAACAAAUAUUUGUGUAGGGUUAAUCAAAUUUAGUAAUUAGCUUGUAUUUGUUUUUCUAUAUUUGUGCUAAUUAUCAAAUUAGCACUAUUUAAUUUGGUAAGUAACAAUAUUAAAUAAGGAAACAAAUAUUUGUGUAGGGUUAAUCAAAUUUAGUAAUUAGCUUGUAUUUGUUUUUCUAUAUUUGUGCUAAUUAUCAAAUUAGCACUAUUUAAUUUGGUAAGUAACAAUAUUAAAUAAGGAAACAAAUAUUUGUGUAGGGUUAAUCAAAUUUAGUAAUUAGCUUGUAUUUGUUUUUCUAUAUUUGUGCUAAUUAUCAAAUUAGCACUAUUUAAUUUGGUAAGUAACAAUAUUAAAUAAGGAAACAAAUAUUUGUGUAGGGUUAAUCAAAUUUAGUAAUUAGCUUGUAUUUGUUUUUCUAUAUUUGUGCUAAUUAUCAAAUUAGCACUAUUUAAUUUGGUAAGUAACAAUAUUAAAUAAGGAAACAAAUAUUUGUGUAGGGUUAAUCAAAUUUAGUAAUUAGCUUGUAUUUGUUUUUCUAUAUUUGUGCUAAUUAUCAAAUUAGCACUAUUUAAUUUGGUAAGUAACAAUAUAUUAAAUAAGGAAACAAAUAUUUGUGUAGGGUUAAUCAAAUUUAGUAAUUAGCUUGUAUUUGUUUUUCUAUAUUUGUGCUAAUUAUCAAAUUAGCACUAUUUAAUUUGGUAAGUAACAAAUAUUAAAUAAGGAAACAAAUAUUUGUGUAGGGUUAAUCAAAUUUAGUAAUUAGCUUGUAUUUGUUUUUCUAUAUUUGUGCUAAUUAUCAAAUUAGCACUAUUUAAUUUGGUAAGUAACAAUAUAUUAAAUAAGGAAACAAAUAUUUGUGUAGGAUUAAUCAAAUUUAGUAAUUAGCUUGUGUUUGUUUUUCUAUAUUUGUGCUAAUUAUCAAAUUAGCACUAUUUAAUUUGGUAAGUAAUAAUAUUAAAUAAGGAAACAAAUAUUUGUGUAGAAUUAAUCAAAUUUAGUAAUUAGCUUGUAUUUGUUUUUCCAUAUUAUCCUUACGAAUGGUAACCUGUUGAGCAGGUGACCACUAUGCAAAAGACAAUUUCGCAUCUAAAAUAUGAACAGCUAGAUUUAAUCUAGUCGGUGUAUUGAAAUAUUCCUCAAAGAUGUAUCAUUACCGUCUAUUUAAAAAAUUUUAAAGGUUAACAUUUGUUUGGUGCAUAGGAGUGUCCCAAAUAGAGAUGUCAACGGGUCGGAUUCGGGGCGGAUUUUUAAAAACCCGAACCCGAACCCGACUCCAAACCCGAGACCCGAACCCGAACCCGAACCCGACGGAUUUUAAAAAUCCAUAUCCAAACCCGAACCCGACCAAAAAUCCGAAACCCGAACCCGAACCCGAACCCGAAAAUUUGAACCCGAAACAAUUAUUUCUUUUUUCAAUAUUUCAAAAUAUAUUAUAUUAAAUUUAAAAUUUUAAAAUACAAAUUCAAAUAUAACAUCAAAUUUUUAUAUAUAUAUAUUAUAUAUAAUACAAAAUAAAUUCGGAUUCGGGUCGGGUUCGGGUUCGGGUCGGAUACAAUCAAAAUCCAUAUCCGAAUCCAUAUCCGUCGGGUUUUUAUUUUUUAUAUCCAUAUCCAAAUUCAUAUCCAUAUCCAUCGGAUAUAUCUGUUUCAUUCGGGUUCGGGUUCGGAUAAAAUUUCGGGUAUCCAUACCCAUUGACAUCCCUAGUCCCAAAUAAUCGCGGCCAAAGGAUGUGACACCCGUCAUCAUCGAGAAACAUCAUUCAUUUUACUCGAUCACCCCAUUUAACCACAAUUAAUCUCAUGUUAAUUACCUCCCAAAUCCUUGCAGUAAAAAGUAAUUAACCCCCCCUUCUCGCUCCAUGUAUAAAUGGAGGAUGUAGCUAGCCAUGUCAAGGCAAUAAGUACUAUAUAUCACUACUGUUUGAGCUAGCUCACGCCACAAUGUCUCCGCAGCUCUCCGUCGUCGUCGUCGGCCUCCUCGUUUCCUCGGCCGUUUUCGGCUUCUGUAGCGCGAGAUAUAUCCUCUACACAGACGAUAUACUCGUCGGAGGCCAAUCCCUCACCAACGGGAAAUUCAAAUUCACCAUGCAGAGGGACUGCAACCUGGUGCUGUCUGACGACUCCGCGUCUGCCAUCUGGGAGUCGGAGACGAAUGGCCAGGGGACGAGCUGCUAUGUCAAGAUGCAGUCGGACGGCAACCUCGUCAUCUACGACAAUCACGAGGCCAAGUGGGCCUCCGGCAACGUGGGAAUGGAAAGCAGCUACGUCUGCAUUCUCCAGCGCGACCGCCAGGUCGUCGUCUACGGCCCCCAGCUCUGGUCCACCGCGCGUGCCGCCGAUACUCCCGGGGUCCUCAUAUCUGCGAACUCCACCGACACUGCCACGCGCAAGGAAUCGAACGCUACUCCGGAUAUGGCCAUCGUUAUUAAUAACUAGUGGUGCAAGAGGAAGCUUUUGUUUUCAGAAUAUAUAUAUAUAUAUAUAUAUAUAUAUAUAUAUACUUGCUUAUCAAAAUACUUUGUAUUUGGUGGGGAAUUUGUCAUACAACUCAAGGGCUAGUUUGGUUUUCAAAUAGAAAAUUGUUUGGGCAUAUGUUAACGAAGAUUUAGAGAGUAUAUAUGUAAAACAAAAGGAAUUAAAGAAAUUAAAAGAUAAGAUUUUUUUUUGCCUUAAACUAAAAAGUUUAUUUGGGGUUAUCAAAAAAGGAAUUGGUAUUACCAAAGUAAAUUUUACUAUCAUUACAUUAAAAGAAUUCAAAUUUUGGCUAGAUUGGAUAUGUCUAUCACGAUAUCAAAACUUGUUUGGACAAUAUCAACUCUUUGUGACAAAAAUGGGAAAGAAGGUUUUGGCCUCCAAGAGAGCUGACGAGUGGUCGUGUCCAGAUUGUAUUGGGCUCAUGCACAGAUUCGUCGUGUGUAACGUACUUGGUCUGAUGUUGGGUCGCAUUGAGUCCAAAAGUCCAUUGGACUUAACUGGGCUAAGCUAGAUGUAGUGGACUUUUCCAAAGCCCAAACUUAGUUCCCUCGAUGAAUCUAAUUUUGUACUCUUUUUAUUUGAUACGUAAAUGUUUCUAUGGUACUAAUAGAAAUGUGCAUGCAACAAGCCUUUUAUAAAAUUAAAAAAUAAUAAUAAUAAAAUUUAAGAAAGAUAGCUUUAAUUAUUAGUGAAUUUUUUUAAAAAAAUAUUUGAUUAUAAUCAUCCAAUUUGAUAGAAAAACAGAAAAGAUUUGAUUACCAUCCCUGCCGGCAUGACCUGGACAGAGCUUAAGGGCCAAGCUGGGCCUCUCCUUUCAGCCCCGACGGCCUGACCCGAUAUGGCCCGAAACCGGCCUGGGCUGCAUGACAUAACCUGCUUGGACCAUGCGAGUUGGGCCAGCAAAGGCCUUGGGGUAGGAUCUUCGGUGAGAAGGGCCAGCCCUUCUCCCCGGGAGAUUUCCUCCUAGACCUUGGGAGGAAGUUUUUGGUCCAACGCUUAAUUUUUUUUUCAAAAAAAUUAAAAAAUUAUAUAUAUAUAUAUAUAUAUAUAUAUAUAUAUAUAUAUAAAUAUAUAUAUAUAUAUUAUUAUUAUAUUAUAUGUAAUUAUUUUUAAACUUUUAAAUUUUAAUAAAAAAAUAAUUUAUUUAUAUUUUAAUAUUUAUAUAUAUUUUUUUAAAAAAAUAAAACAAAAUAAAACCUUUAUUAUGGCUAGCCAGAAGCACGGCCAGGCUCCAACGCUCCGAGUUCUUCCAGCGGAAGGUGUUGUGUUCGCCAAGAUGGAUACUCCAGGCUCGGCACGACCCCGCCGAAUUUGGAAACCGGCCGGGCGGCCUCUAGCCCUACUUGGCAACGAAAAAUGUGGGCCGCGAGCCACAUUACACCCAUUUUGUACCAUGCCGUUUUCAGAUGUUAAACAUAACAAUUUUUGAAAGGUUGGAUACAGUUAUUUUAAUGUGCUGAUAUGUUGAUGAUACAGAGUGUAGGAUUGGUUGUGAAUGAGAAUUUCAUCUUGCUUGAGUUUGGUUGAAAAGAUUUACAAAUUGUAUUUAUUAAUUAUUAAAUUGUCUACUCUUGGGUUAUGUUCGUGGUGUAAGCCUAACUAUCAAGGUCCCAUAACACUCCUAGGGGAUAGAUGAGAUGGAUUGAACAUUUAAAUUAUUAGUGGUGAUGGAAACAUAAAAUAUAUGACUAAAGCACGUAUCUUUGAUUGAUGAAAUCUUCAGUGCUCUAUUUAUUAAUUAUUUGAAGAAUCUUCACGCCCCGGGGUCCCUUUAGUUUGAAAACCUGAACCCAGGGUAUGCCAGAUCCGCUACAAAUACAGGGAAUCUACUGUUCACACGGACAGAGUCUCCCCUAUAUUUGCACGGCGUCGCACAAGUACAAGAUGUCCCAACAGAGUAUAACCAGGAUACAACCACAAUACAUGAAUAGACAAUUCCCAACAUUCAUUCACCAUUCACCAGAUAUUUACCAUUCAGUGUUUAAACAAAAAAACCACAAGAAAAACUCUUUUGAAAGCUGUUUCCUACACGAAAACCUUUUCUUUUUAAAACGCUACCACAAGGGGUAGAAAACUAUUUUUUCCUUUUCACAAAAUUCACAAGUUCUAUAGUUCAUUCAAAACCAUAUGAAUUCGAAUAACAUAAACCAACUGAACUAUAAAAUAUCAAAGCGAUUAAUAAUACAAGUAAACAGGGUAGGAACUAAACCAACAAGCCGGGUCGGAAGCUCUAGCGACCACUACGAAUGCGUCUCACGUCUCGUCUCAUAUCUCACCACCCGCAAUACCUGAAAAAUGGUGGGGUAGGUGAGAACAUGUAAAUAUGUCUCCCCUCCCAGUGGGUACCGCAAGCCGAUAAAGGCAAGGAGUACUCACCGGAUCAGGAAGAGAUAUAUAACAAUAUGGUAAACAGAUACAGAUGCUGAUACGAAGAAACUACAGUAGCUAUAACAGAUAAAUGAGCAAUAAAUAAAACUGCUACUGUAAGAAAUGCAAAGCUUAGUAUGCCUCAAGAUAACCAAACCAAAACUGUACCAAAUCUGGUGUCUGCUAUAUUGGUCCGUAGACCUCAAACGCUGCCUGUCACUGAUCUGCACCGACCUAAUUCACCCGCCCCGCAGGACGACCCAUCCGGAUAAGCACACCUCCGGUCGGUGGCCAAACCGACCUGGUGUCGUGAAUACCCCCAAGUACUGUGACUAAGUCAUGCUGGUAUGCUCAAUAUAAAAACCGGCUGAAGCCGGUGCCUAGGCCGAAGCCAGAAACAAGGGCGUACCACGCCGAACCACGAUCAACCAGAUCAAUAGAUAUGCAAAUAUAUAGAACUACUCUACUCCUACUAAGAAUACUAAGCAUGCAAACAACGAGUAGAGUAUACUGGAAUAAUCAUAGGUGCAAGGCUCAAAAUAUACUAUGCAAUAGUAACAACACAAGAGUAAGGGUAAGAAACCAUCAGUGAGCGUGCACCACUGUACCAACGUCGGAUCGAAGUACCGACCUGUCACUGUCGCGUCGGAAAACCUGGAUGCACACAAGUCGACCGGACCUACGAAGAUCCACUAGGUUAGUAUCCAACCCACUAACCUGAAGUACACAAUCUCACAAACCUCCACAAAAGAUCCCUGUAAUCGGUUUUCCAAAACCAAUUACCGUAACUCACCGGAAGUCCCGAAAACCACACUCGGACGCCGUUGGGACCCACUAAGUGUCCCGAAAUGCACCGAGCGUACCACGAGUCACCCGCUGCCACAAAACACUCCUGUUUGGAUGUCUUGGCAGCAAACACAAGAUAACACCGCUACACAAUUAUCGCCGGAUAAUUGUACGAAUCCGGGUUCCCGAAAGGGUCUAUUUCGACACCGGAACCCAUCGUCGCUCACCCAUCAUCACCGAACCCACAAAAUGAUGAUAGUGACCAGCCAACAAGGCUCAGCGACAAUUUACAGGACAAUCAAAUCACGUCGGAAGAAAUCCGAACCGAAACCGCGUUCUUUCGGCGAAUUUCGCGAAAAACGCACCGAAAUCGACUCUUCGAUUUCCGCAAAAGCUAAUGAAUCAUGGACAAUCAGUCCAGAGGUCACCAUACAUGCCUACACACUGCCCACAGUAGCCACAAAGCGCACAAUUGCACAAAAGCCCCUGUAUUUACAUAAAAUCCCAAUAUUUUUUAUAAAUCGGGCGAUAACAUGGCUCGUUCAUGUAAAUCGAGGACUCCCGAGGUCUACCGAGACAUGCACUGAUAGGUAUCGAUGUGUCGGAGGCCGUGCUCACGAUCUGGAGCACAAUAGCUCACUGUGGGAGGCGCGGGAGCAACCCGAAGUUCUGCCAACAGUGCGCAGUCGGGGAAAAUCAUACCGAACAGGCCGAUACAAUAUCUGCUGAUCCAAAGUAAGGUGAGCACUGUGAUCGGCACUGACCAACGAUCACGGUGCUCACCUCCGGUGCCAUCAGCACAGCCUCAGAUCGCUGGAUAAACGUGCGCAAACCCGAAACAACAGCCAAAAAGGCUCUACAGGGUCGACACCGCCGAAACAGCAGAAGGGAGUGUCCCCGACAGAAACUAAAGUGAGCACGAUGAUCAGCAAUUUGACAUGAUCAUCGUGCUCCAUUCCAUAGAGAUUGGGGAAGCUUGGGAAACUCAGGACAGCAAACCGCCAUGGAAUAGCCCUAUUUCGGGCUUGGCCGGAGCAAGCUUUCUCCGGCCAGCUUCCGGCGGCACGGCGAGGUGCGCGCGGGCCAGGGAUGGGUGCGGGGGAGGUGAGGAACACUAUGCUCACCUCAGGUGGCGGCAGUGACGGCGGAGCAAACCGAGCCCGCACCAGCUAGGGCUCGGAUUCCAGAGCAGCUGCAGCCACAGCGGCGGCCGGGGCUCCUCGGGGACGAAGACGGUAGGUCCCCAGAGGCCGGAGUAGGAGGAGGGAGGCGGCGGGCGAUAGCGGCGGGGGCCCGCGGCUCGGGUAUGGCCGCCCGAGCUUGGCUCGGUCUGUAGGCUAGGACGCCGGCGCCCAAGGCGCGCGGCGGCGGCGGCGACUCGCUGGGGCGGCAACGUCCGACGGGGAGGGUUGCCGAGGCUUCGGAAAAGGCGGCAGAGGUGGUCCAAGGGGCGGCGGUGCGGAGGCUAACCUCUGAAGCUCGGCUCAGCCCGAGCAGGUCUGGGCGGCCGCGGUUGACAGAGGCGGCGGCGGUGGCCCGCAGAGGCGGCGGCGACUAGCCAGGGGAGACUCCGACGAGGUCGGGGCGACGCCGGCGACGAACCCAGAGGCAAUGCAGCCUCGGCUAAGCUCUAACCCGAGAGAAAGAGAGAGAGAUGGAUGGAGAGAGAGAUGGAUGGUGGCUCGGCGGCGGCCGGGGCUCAACCGGCGGCGGCCGAGGGUGCGCGGCUAGGGCAGGAGAGCAAGGUGAAGGUGGCAGGGGCGACUAGCGUAGCUGGGGGCUGGCUAGGGUUAGGGUUAGACGGAAGAAACCCUAAAAGCUCUAUAUAUACCGAGGUGCCGAUUUGCGAGUUAACCCACAAAACCUCAGUAUUUCGAACUGAAUCCCUCACAGUGCGUGAACAACGCGAGAAUACCCCUUCACGUGAGAUCUCGCGUAAAACGGUACAUAAAAUGUCGUGACUAUUGCGAAAUUACCGUUUUGCUAACACCGACCUUUUCUCGAUCAACGCGCAAUCUCCGUAAAUCCGUCGGUCCGAUUUGCAAACGGAUUGCACCAGUGCGAUCAGCACGACAGAGACCACAAAGCUACGAUUUCGUUUCUCCUUGAUCGGUCUCGGAUUCGCGACGAACUCAGUCCAUCAUUCCAACGAAAGAAACUACGCACAAAUACAUAUAAAACAUGCAUUUUUGAAUUUUCUCGAAAUCCGUGCCUCAAACUCAAAAUCCGUCAGCGCUAUCAGUUCUAGAAUAACCAAACCGUUCGAAACAAGCUAUUGGACUGCUAUGAACGGAGUCCGAUACGCGCCAGAAGCCAACUUCACAUCGUGGCUUUUCCGGAAAACCGAGUUACUAUUCACUUUAAGUGAAACUUGAAAAUCGCGUAGAAUCUUCGAUUUAACUCGUUUUCUCCCGAAACUUGACGAGUACCUUUAUAAUUAAAUUACACACAAAAAUAUCGUCAAUUGAGGGUUUAACUACACUGAAAAAAUUUUAGUCCUUACAAUCUAAUUGAUUAGGUAAAUGAUAUAUGAAUUCAACUCUCUUCCUCAAAAAAAAAAAAGAAAAAAAGUUUAAUAUUAUAUUUUUAAAUAAUUCAAAAGGAUGUUUGGUAAUAGACUUUUAUGAAAGAAAACUAAAUAGAGAGAGGAAAAAAUUGAAUAUUUUUAAAAUUACAU